This 413-nucleotide ribosomal RNA is filed under the name uncultured Candidatus Saccharibacteria bacterium. RNAcentral describes it as "bacterial SSU rRNA". It matches the Rfam family "Bacterial small subunit ribosomal RNA", at positions 958 to 1385 of the family's 1533-position model. Lineage: Bacteria; Candidatus Saccharimonadota. The record is from RNAcentral.
AACGCGAAGAACCUUACCAGGGUUUGACAUCCCGAGAAGGUUUCCGAAAGGAAAUUGUGCCGUAAGGAACUCGGUGACAGGUGAUGCAUGGCCGUCGUCAGCUCGUGUCGUGAGAUGUUUGGUUAAGUCCAUCAACGAGCGCAACCCUUAUAUUUAGUUGGAUUUCUCUAAAUAGACUGCCCCGGUAACGGGGAGGAAGGAGGGGAUGAUGUCAGGUCAGUAUUUCCCUUACAUCCUGGGCUAGAAACACGCUACAAUGGCCGGUACAAAGGGCAGCCAAGUCGCGAGACGGAGCAAAUCCCAUCAAAGCCGGUCUCAGUUCGGAUAGCAGGCUGAAACUCGCCUGCUUGAAGUCGGAAUCGCUAGUAACGGUGAGUCAGCACAUCACCGUGAAUACGUUCCCGGGCCUUGUA